Carcharodon carcharias (great white shark) is the source of this 130-nucleotide small nucleolar RNA. RefSeq annotates it as small nucleolar RNA SNORA3/SNORA45 family. Lineage: Eukaryota; Metazoa; Chordata; Chondrichthyes; Lamniformes; Lamnidae. The transcript has a single exon. The record is from RefSeq and is a predicted model, not a curated record.
AUCGAGACUAGAGUCACAUCCUUACAUUUUCUGUUGUCUUGAUGUGCUAUAGUUUUCGAAGAGUAACUACUAAUUUUAUUCACUGGCUGUAGCUCCUUUAGCCCAGUCAGCCACACAAUUAGUAACAUUG